AAUAGAUGACGCCGUUGACUUUUUCUCAUAUGUUUAACCAUUCGUCUUAUUUAAAAAAUUUACGUAAUUAUAAUUUAUUUUCUUAUGAGUUGUUUUAUCACUCAUAGUACUUUAAGUGUGAUUUAUAUAUUAUACAUUUGCAUAAAAUUUUUUAAUAAGACGAAUGGUCAAACAUGUGAGAAAAACUCGGCGUCAUCUAUU
Molecule: microRNA precursor, 201 nt
Filed under: Oryza barthii
Lineage: Eukaryota; Viridiplantae; Streptophyta; Magnoliopsida; Poales; Poaceae
Description: MIR812 microRNA precursor family
Rfam family: MIR812 microRNA precursor family
Source: Rfam by way of RNAcentral